CUAUCUAUCUCGGCCUUUUGGCUAAGAUCAAAGUGUAGAAUCUGUUCUUAUCAGCUUAAUAUCUAAUACGGUCCCUAUUUGGGGCCAUCGAUAUUAAACUGAUUUUUAGAACGAGGCGAAGUGUUAAGGGCUUGCUUCACCUUUGCCACAAGUUGUUCUGAUAUUGCAAUGCUUCCAGGAUUCAGCCCAUCUCCC
RNAcentral lists this small nuclear RNA (195 nucleotides) under Octopus vulgaris (common octopus). Its description in RNAcentral is "U2 spliceosomal RNA". It matches the Rfam family "U2 spliceosomal RNA". Rfam says of the family: U2 is a small nuclear RNA (snRNA) component of the spliceosome (involved in pre-mRNA splicing). Complementary binding between U2 snRNA (in an area lying towards the 5' end but 3' to hairpin I) and the branchpoint sequence (BPS) of the intron results the bulging out of an unpaired adenosine, on the BPS, which initiates a nucleophilic attack at the intronic 5' splice site, thus starting the first of two transesterification reactions that mediate splicing. Lineage: Eukaryota; Metazoa; Mollusca; Cephalopoda; Octopoda; Octopodidae. RNAcentral also lists the same sequence under 1 other name. The record is from Rfam by way of RNAcentral.